RNAcentral lists this ribosomal RNA (252 nucleotides) under uncultured bacterium. RNAcentral describes it as "partial 16S ribosomal RNA". It matches the Rfam family "Bacterial small subunit ribosomal RNA", at positions 524 to 776 of the family's 1533-position model. The record is from RNAcentral.
UACGUAGGCAGCAAGCGUUGUUCGGAAUUACUGGGCGUAAAGAGUGUGUAGGCGGUGCUCCAAGUCUGGUGUGAAAUCUCCCGGCUUAACUGGGAGGGUGCAUUAGAAACUGGAAUGCUAGAGGAUGGGAGAGGUAAGCGGAAUUCCUGGUGUAGCGGUGAAAUGCGUAGAUAUCAGGAGGAACACCUGUGGUGUAGACAGCUUCUGGACCAUUUCUGACGCUGAGACACGAAAGCGUGGGUAGCAAACAGG